AGCGGAAUUACUGGGUCAUAUGGUAAAUCUAUGCUUAAUCUUUUGAGAAACUGCCAAAACAUUUUCCAAAGAGGCUGAACCAUCUUACAUUCCCACCAACAAC
This 103-nucleotide microRNA precursor is filed under the name Marmota monax (woodchuck). Lineage: Eukaryota; Metazoa; Chordata; Mammalia; Rodentia; Sciuridae. The record is from RNAcentral.